UCGGGAAUUUUGGGCAAUGGGCGAAAGCCUGACCCAGCAACGCCGCGUGAAGGAUGAAGUAUUUCGGUAUGUAAACUUCGUAAGAAUAGGAAGAAUAAAUGACGGUACUAUUUGUAAGGUCCGGCUAACUACGUGCCAGCAGCCGCGGUAAUACGUAGGGACCAAGCGUUGUUCGGAUUUACUGGGCGUAAAGGGCGCGUAGGCGGUGUGUCAAGUCAGUUGUGAAAUCUCCGAGCUUAACUCGGAACGGUCAACUGAUACUGUCACACUAGAGUACAGAAGGGGCAAUCGGAAUUCUUGGUGUAGCGGUGAAAUGCGUAGAUAUCUGGAGGAAUACCGGUGGCGAAGGCGGCCACCUGGACUGAUACUGACACUGAGGUGCGAAAGCGUGGGGAGCAAACAGGAUUAGAUACCCCAGUAGUCCCUGAGCGGGCUGGCAAGGCGCAU
This 447-nucleotide ribosomal RNA is filed under the name uncultured bacterium. RNAcentral's name for it is "bacterial SSU rRNA". It matches the Rfam family "Bacterial small subunit ribosomal RNA", at positions 355 to 825 of the family's 1533-position model. The record is from RNAcentral.